Gopherus evgoodei (Goodes thornscrub tortoise) is the source of this 134-nucleotide long non-coding RNA. RefSeq lists it as uncharacterized. The transcript is spliced from 3 exons. NCBI's taxonomy places the organism in Eukaryota, Metazoa, Chordata, Testudines, Testudinidae. The record is from RefSeq and is a predicted model, not a curated record.
AGAAGAGAACAAUUUUGAAGAGAGACAAAAGGAAAGUUUGGAGAAGUGCUGCAGUAGGCUGAGAAAUCCAAAAGAAGCCCUAGGUAAGGGGCAUCUGGCUUGUGUAGAAGGGAGGCAAGAAGCCCCUUCACAAG